This is a non-coding RNA of Kogia breviceps (pygmy sperm whale), 3268 nucleotides long. The record is from RefSeq and is a predicted model, not a curated record. Lineage: Eukaryota; Metazoa; Chordata; Mammalia; Artiodactyla; Physeteridae.
CUGGAGCUUCAGUUUCCUGGAACAGAGGGCUGCACCCCUCGUCUGGGCCCCCAGAGGCCCCGAGCAGAGCAGAGGAGCUGGCGGUGGAGCAGAUCAAGUCCUGGGCACAGCAGCUCCAGCUCACUCGCCGGGCUUCUGCAGGCCCGGGGCGUGGAGCCAGCAGGCUGGAGCCAGGCGGCCUCCCGGGCCUCCUCACAGCCGCUUUUGAUAAAGCCCCUCUGUGCACAGGGUGGGGGGGCCCGGCCGGCUGGAGCCAGCUCACAUCUGGAGGCCAGCACAGGCCUGGGGCAGCCGGCGCGGCUGACAGCGGCGCCACCCCGAGCCACACGCCCGGCACUGGGUAAACAGCCCCGCGCCCACCCAGCAGCUCACCUUUCGCCCACAAGGCUGCCUUUCUUCUCGGACCCAGGACGAGGCCACCACGAACAUUCCUCCCGGCACAGGGCAGAACGGGCCGCUGACCUCGAGGCUGGGCCGAAAUCUGAAUCCAGGAGGCUCAGCGAGGACAGCCUCGGGAGUGAGAGAGAUACACUUUAUACAAGAGGAAACCCUGGGGCGCUGACCCUGCCCUCCCAUCCCGGAAGGGUCUCUGAGGAAGUGACGCCCUGAACACAGAGCCGGAUCCGUGGCGACCGCGAAGGAUCUUCCCUUCCCGGCAGAGGCAUCAGCCAUGCAAAGGCAGGAAGCCUGCCACACCCCUAGGAAGCUGGAGGCUUUGCACGGGAUGCCCCGCUCUGGCCUGGCUUUCUCCUUUUGUGGGGAGGGAACAGUCCCCCGCCCACCCCCACAAGCAGGGAUACUGUUCCUGGUGGUGGGUCAGGCCUCUGUGGACCCCCUCAAGUCCUGGAAGAUGACCGUGUCUGCGGGCUUGGGGAGACGGAGAUGAGAGUGUAGACUGAACAGCUCUCCAGCUCCAGACUUUGAGGCAGGAUCCUGAGGUACUCAGAAGGAAAUGACAAGCAGCCUCAUUUACAAUUGAAGGAAACUGAGGUACAACAACAAAAUAAUAAAAUCUAAUGCUUACUGAGCUCUUACUCCAAGCCAGGCACAGUGCUAAGCCCUUUGACCCAGGUUCUUUCAUUUAAUCCUCCCAACGAUUAUCACUGUCGGAAGAUAAUACCAUGACCCCUAUUUUACAAGUGUGGAAAUGAAGACUCAGGAGGUAAGUCAAGACCAUGCCUCCUGUUAAUGGAGGAUCUGGGAUGAGCAUGCAGAUCUGGCUUCAGAACCCAGAAUCAUAAACCUGGCACUUCCUGAGGGGAGGUGGGGGUAGGCGGGAAGGGAUGGGGGACACCUGGGAGAGACAGAUGAUAAGCCCUUGUCUGGGGGCUAAGGGCAGUGGAAUAAAUAAUUGCAAGAGUGAGGGACCCAGGGUCAGUUCCAUGUUCUUCCUACCCUGGAUGGCCCAGGGCAGUUUGGAGAACCCCAAUUCUAGCCCACCCCAGCAACCUAGAAUUUACUCUGCUUCGUUCAUUCAUUUAUUCAUUCAGUCAACAGAAAACAAAAUACAGGAUGACACAGAUCAAAUAUGUCCCUGUAAACAAUAAAUGUAAAUGGGUUGAAUGGAUCUAUUAAAAAACAAAGACUUAUAUUAGAUCAAAAAUCAAAAUCUAUUCAUUUAUUCAUGGGCCAAAUAUUUAUUAAAUGCCUAAAAGAUUCAAGGUCCUGUUUUAGAUUCUAAUGAUAGAAUGUAAAAAUAAAAUGUCUGUUAAAGAAGGAAAAACGCUGGGAAAAGGAGAUCCAGGGAGAGAGAUCUGAAGGUGCAAAAACUGUGAGGCUGCAAUGAGUUGGAGGAUGGAGGAGCCAAAAAGGGGCCGGUGUGGUUGGAGAAGAGCACUAGUGAGCAAGCGUCAGGGGGUGAGGCAGGCAAGGACUGCCAGGUCAGGUCUGGAGAGCAGAGGCAGCCCCAAGGGGGGCCGAGAUGCAGAGGAGCUGGAUCCUGCUUACCUAGGUAAGGUACCUGGAACUCUUGACCCUUCCCCCACUAAAUGCAGCCAAGAUGACCUCGCCAAGCCUCCUCCCAGGGAAGAAGACUUACCAUGAAUUGAAGGCCUACUGGGUGCCAGGCUCUGCCAUGGGUGGUUUACGUGCUUAAUUAGCUCAUUAAGUCCUGCCAUCAGGUUAGUUUUCUCCCAUUCUGCAGAAGAAAAAACUAAGCCUCAGAGAGGUAGAGUGACCUGCCUGAAGCCACACAGCCAGACAAUGACAGGCCUGAAGUUUGAACUUGGAGUAUCCAACACUAUGGUGUGCCUUCUUGGCACUGCAUAGCUGCCUCCCAGGAAAUGGCAGUGGAGAGGUCUCAGCUGGCUGUGUCCUCACAUGGGUCCCCUGACCUCUAUGACUUCAAUUCUCCAUCUGGGAACUCACACGCCAGGUCAGUGUUGAGACCUGGAUGACUCCCUCCCUCUGGGACAUGGAGUUCCAAUGUGCUGAGCUGGCGCUUCUGAUUCCACCCCCACAAUGACUCCAUUUGACAGAGGAGGAAACUGAGGCUCAGAGGGGGAAGUGAUUCUGCAGGGUCACGGCCUUGGGACUCCCGAGGGCCUGGGACUUUUGCUGAGUCUGUUCAUUGGAUGAUAAGAAUGAGAACCCCUCAAGGAUGCAGAGACUUUGGGAUGGGGUGGAGGGACAGGAACAAGGACACACAGGCAAUAAGGGAGAGCAGGCCUGGAACCCAGGACACCAGCUCCCAGCCUCUGCCCCUCACUGCAUCCUGGGGAAGGCGGAGGCCUGGCCCCUGGGUCCGGAUUAUUUCCUGAGAAUGGGGAGGGGCCACGGGAAGUCUCCCCACAUCACCCCACUCAGGUCCUGCCCAAACAGGAAAUGCCAGGCAGUCCCCCCACCCACACUCCAGGGCCGUGGGAAAGCUUUGCCUGGGAUCCAGUGCUUCCUUCCAGCUCUGGCCCAGCCUCACUGGGGAUCUAGACCCUAACAGGGCCUGCGUGACCUUGGACAAGGUCCUUCCCCUCUCGGGGCCUCAGUCUCCCGCUCUGUAGUCACAGAACUCUGCCACCUCCCGGCUGUAUGACCUCAGGCUGUGCCCUUCCGAAGCUUAACUCCCUCUUCUGUAAAGUAGGGGGCAGUACACACAGAGUGUGCUCCACCUACGGAGCCAUUAUCACCCCAGGCAAGGGUGUGACAGGGGAAGCCUUUGGAAAGAUCCCUAUGGCCCUCUGGGAAAGACGAGGAGCUUCCUUGGACUCAGGACCACACCAGGUACCUCUCUGCACCUCACUUUGCCAGUUUGUAAAAGAGGCAGAGCCAUGGC